CCUGCCUGCAAAGGUGUUGCUGAUGUGGCUGCUGUGUCAUAUAUGCAUCAGUAGGUGGCAGAGAAGAGAAAGCCUAUGUCUAGGCUCAGUGUUCUGACCUAUGGACAUCUGAAUGAUUAGCUGCCUAACAGU
Molecule: small nucleolar RNA, 132 nt
Organism: Rattus norvegicus (Norway rat)
Lineage: Eukaryota; Metazoa; Chordata; Mammalia; Rodentia; Muridae
Product: small nucleolar RNA SNORA17
Source: Ensembl